This 3856-nucleotide long non-coding RNA is filed under the name Cucumis sativus (cucumber). RNAcentral's name for it is "long non-coding RNA (CSAT_LNC002072)". Lineage: Eukaryota; Viridiplantae; Streptophyta; Magnoliopsida; Cucurbitales; Cucurbitaceae. The record is from RNAcentral.
CACCUCCAAAAGGUAAUAAUUCAUAAUUUUGUCCUUUAUAAUCAAUAUUAUUUUCUAUAAACCUUUCUGGGAUAAACUCUUCAGGGUUAACCCAACACUCUGGAUCUCGUCCAAUGGCCCAUACAUUGACAUGAAGAUGAGCCUUUGGAUGUAUAUCAUAACCAUUAAGCUUAAAAUGAGACGUGGUUUCUCUUGGAAUGAGAAGUGGGACUGGUGGGUGCAACCUUAGAACCUCUUUCACUACCAUUUUUAGAUAUGGAAGCCUUUCAAGGUCCGUUUCUUUUACUUGUUCCUUUUUUAUGUAGCUUCUAAUUUGGUCUUGUAGCUUUUUCAUUACUCUAGGCUUUCUAAUUAGCUCUGCCAUUGCCCAAACAAUGGUGUUUGCUCCAGUUUCCACUCCUGCUAUAAAGAUAUCCUAAAAAGAACAACACUUAAAAUGAAACUUGAAUUUUGUUUGAUAGCAAUAAGAUUAAAAAAUGAAAGUUGAAUUUUGUUUGAUAACAAUUAACUUUUUUUUAAAAAAAAAAAAAUUUAAAAGAAUAAUAUUGACACACCCAUUUUUAUGUGUUAGACUCUUUCUAAGCCUACCGAAAAAACAAUCAAAAUAACUUAAAAGUAAAGUAAAGAAUAUCGAAUAGUUUAAUAGGAUGGACAAAGGUAUAGAUGCACCUAAAUCUUUCUAUUUUGAAAAUUAAACUUAUGAACGUUAUUUUAUAUCUUACAUCUUUUUUUUUGUUAUCUAAUAAUUUUUUCACAAAUAUUUCAUAAAACCAUUCAAAGUUCUGAAAACUAAAUACCGCCACGUGCUAGAGACGAUGCGGAACGGCCAACGUCCUCAAAAGAGCUAUUUUUAAAAGAAAAUAGGAGUUUUAAUCUCUUGACACUAGUCUCCUUUUUUUAAAAAAAAAAUUAUGUUUAGACACAUUUAGAUGGGUUGCAGAAAAUAAGUGAUGCAUGCAUAUAAUUAGACACACUUAUGUUUUUUUACGAGGAAAAAAAGACUUAGAUACAACGUCAGAUUGUACCUAUUACAAAAAGAAGAAAAAAAAGAUUAAAAACAAAAAUUCAUAACUUAUGAUUAGACACAUUUAGAUGAGUUGCACAACACUAACUGAUGCAUGCUAAAAAAUAUAGUUGGACGAUGGGUAGGUUGGACCCAUCUAAUUUAUGCAACUUUACUCAAUUAAAAAUUUUAAUGUGACCCAAGUAAUUUUGUGUGUGUGUGUGUGUUUUUUUUUAUUGAAUUGUUAUUUUUUUGCUGUAUAAUAUAUAUAUGACAGCUCGGAGAUAACUACUAAUUGCCAUUUUUCUUUUUGACUUUAGUUAAGAAUUUAAAUGUUUCUAAGGAUGAACUGACCCCUCUAUUAUUGUUCCCAUGUGAAAAAAUCUAACUAAUUUUCAAGAAUGAAAUGAUUAUAAAAUACAGAACCACGUAAUUAAAAUUUUAAAAUAUUUAGCUUAUUACCUUGAUUAUUGCUUUAAUGCAAUCUUGUGUAAGGAUGAGUGCAUCAGAUUGAAAGCCGUCUCUCUUCAUUCUCAACAAAACAUCAACAAUGUUUUCUUCAUUUCCAGAAGUUCCCUUGUCCAUGUUUAUACGAUCAUCGACUACCUUUUGAAAAAAAGCAUCCAUCUCACCAAAGCUCUUCUCCAGCUUCCCAUGAACACCACUGAUUCGAUCAACAAUCCAACCGAAACUCGGAAAGAAAUCGCUAAUUGAGAAGCCUUUAAUGGCGUCAAUUGUUCUGCGCAUAACCUUUUGAAAAUUUUGGUUAUCUAGUUCACCCCCUCUAAAGCUCUUCCCAAAAGCAAUUCUUGUCGUAAUAUUGGCAGUAAGAGAAUAGCUUUUGUCACCCAAAUCAAUUGGAUUUGAAGAAAAUUUUAAGGAUUGUUGAGAGAUUGAGUUUAUGAGCAAACUCACUUCCUCUUCUCUGAUAUGAUGAAAUGAUUGCACUCGUUUAGUACUAAAGAGCUCGAGUAUGAAAAUCUUUCGAAGCUCUCUCCAACGCUCGCCAUAUGGAGACAAACUCAGGUCUUGAAAGUUAUAGGAAAAUCUUGCACUUCCCAUUAAGCGAGGGCGGCUGCAAGAUGCGAGAUCAUGGUGUUUGAAUAGCUCUCUCGCGGCUGUUGCGGAAGAAAUGACGACGGUCGGGAUGGAGCCGAGUUUCAGAAGCAUGAUGGGACCGUAUGUUCGUGAAAGGUUGCAUAAAGAGUGAUGAGGGUGGGAGCCAAGGAGGUGUAAAUGACCCAAUAAAGGAAGCUUUGGAGGGCUUGGAGGAGGAUUAGUAAUAAGCUUCUUGUUGUUGCUGUGAAUAAGCUUUUUUGUUUUGAGAAGAAGUAGAGAAGUUAAGAGAAAAAGGAGAGGAAACCAUAUGAGAAUGCUAUUCAUCAUCAUCUCUCAACAGUGUAAUAAUGCAUUUCCAAUGUUUGGGCAAAGUCUAUAUAUAUAGGGAACUUUUAUCAUAUAUGUUUUUAAAUACACAAGUGCACUAAGUAACUUACUGAAUCUUCGACUUUGAGAUGGAAGUCAUGUCCAUACCACCUAGACAAGCUCAGUCUACGACAAACACUUCUAUCGUGCUCGUUAUUUAAAAAAAAAAAAAAGAAGAUAAAUUUACCAGCGAGUGAAGCUACCUUACGAGUCUGGUAAAAAUUAAAUAAAAUAGCACUUAAUCAUAAAAAUUAAAAUUAAAAGAAAAAUUGUAUUUGAUAGCAAAAAUAACCAACCAUUUGAGAUAAUGAGAUAUUGUUGAGAUAUUUGCAAUCUUGUCUCCAAUAAUUUUCACCUUUCCAAAGCUAUUAGCGUCUGCAUCCUAAAAACUCCAUGAAUUUUGAUAGUUAAAGGAUGACCACACACCACACUUAAAAGGGACAGCAAUAGCCAUUUUUAACAGGAAGGUCAUGCUGCCUAUAAGUGAAUUAUUGAGGUCAGUCUAAAAAGUCAUCAAAGCAAGCUAACAAAUAUGUGUUCACAGAGCCAAUCCAAACAUCUCUGUUAGGGAGCAUAUAUAUAUAUAUAUGACACUAUGUAUACCCUUUCAGUCUUUUACCUGAUCUUGUAAUUAAUUUUUAAAACUAAAAAGAAUAUGAUAAAUUAUUUUAAGUAACAAAACUUUUGAAUAUAUUAAUAAAUAUAGCAAAGUAUAUUACAAAGGGUAAUCUAUCUUGAUUUAUAUUCAUUGUUCAUUGUAAAUAGACUAUCAUAUCUUACUAUAUUUAAAAAUAAUAAUCAUUUUAAUUAAUUAGCUGUCGUUAAUUCAUCAUUGCUAUUAAAAUUAAGUAUAAAACGUUCUUCAUUUUAAAUUAAUUAACUAAAAAUAAUUAAUGUCAAAGAUUAGAGAGUGAGGCAUUAGCUAACACUUUUUUAGUGCAACGGGGAUAAAAAUCAAACCUUCAAAAUAUUGGUAAGAAGUUCAUAUUAAUUAUUAUUGUUGUGUUAAAUUAAUUUUGAUUAUUGCACAUGAACUUUAUUUGGCUUCGUUGAUGGCUCUAAUCCAAAACCUGCAAGAAUUCUUGCAGAAACUACCAUGGGUGUCUCUCCAUCUUCUUCAUUCGACCCAACCGCUUCUGCCCAAACAACAACACCCACCCAACCAAACCCACUCCAUGAUGAAUGGAUUGCCAAAGAUCAUGCCUUCAUCACCCUCAUCAAUGCUACCCCUCUCUUCCAGUGCCCUCUUGCCUACAUUUAUUGGCUGCUCCGCAUCCAAAGAUAUAUAUGGCAUACCCUAGAGAAACACUACCUAUCCAACUCUCAAGUCAAUGUGGUGAACCUCAAAUUUGAACUCCAAACCAUCUCCAAAGAAAGCAAGCGAAUCAAUAAACUUCUACAUUUGAAUGCAUCAAAGAACUAAAAGAU